CCUACGGGCGGCAGCAGUGGGGAAUAUUGCACAAUGGGCGCAAGCCUGAUGCAGCCAUGCCGCGUGUGUGAAGAAGGCCUUCGGGUUGUAAAGCACUUUCAGCGGGGAGGAAGGCGGUGAGGUUAAUAACCUCAUCGAUUGACGUUACCCGCAGAAGAAGCACCGGCUAACUCCGUGCCAGCAGCCGCGGUAAUACGGAGGGUGCAAGCGUUAAUCGGAAUUACUGGGCGUAAAGCGCACGCAGGUGGUCUGUCAAGUCGGAUGUGAAAUCCCCGGGCUCAACCUGGGAACUGCAUUCGAAACUGGCAGGCUAGAGUCUUGUAGAGGGGGGUAGAAUUCCAGGUGUAGCGGUGAAAUGCGUAGAGAUCUGGAGGAAUACCGGUGGCGAAGGCGGCCCCCUGGACAAAGACUGACGCUCAGGUGCGAAAGCGUGGGGAGCAAACAGGAUUAGAUACCCGAGUAGUC
Molecule: ribosomal RNA, 465 nt
Filed under: uncultured Klebsiella sp.
Lineage: Bacteria; Pseudomonadati; Pseudomonadota; Gammaproteobacteria; Enterobacterales; Enterobacteriaceae
Description: bacterial SSU rRNA
Rfam family: Bacterial small subunit ribosomal RNA
Source: RNAcentral